RNAcentral lists this ribosomal RNA (492 nucleotides) under uncultured bacterium. RNAcentral's name for it is "partial 16S ribosomal RNA". It matches the Rfam family "Bacterial small subunit ribosomal RNA", at positions 29 to 507 of the family's 1533-position model. The record is from RNAcentral.
AGUGAACGCUGGCGGUAGGCCUAACACAUGCAAGUCGAACGGCAGCACAGUAAGAGCUUGCUCUUGCGGGUGGCGAGUGGCGGACGGGUGAGGAAUACAUCGGAAUCUACUUUUUCGUGGGGGAUAACGUAGGGAAACUUACGCUAAUACCGCAUACGACCUACGGGUGAAAGCAGGGGAUCUUCGGACCUUGCGCGAUUGAAUGAGCCGAUGUCGGAUUAGCUAGUUGGCGGGGUAAAGGCCCACCAAGGCGACGAUCCGUAGCUGGUCUGAGAGGAUGGUCAGCCACACUGGAACUGAGACACGGUCCAGACUCCUACGGGAGGCAGCAGUGGGGAAUAUUGGACAAUGGGCGCAAGCCUGAUCCAGCCAUACCGCGUGGGUGAAGAAGGCCUUCGGGUUGUAAAGCCCUUUUGUUGGGAAAGAAAAGCAGCAGGUUAAUACCCCGCUGUUCUGACGGUACCCAAAGAAUAAGCACCGGCUAACUUCGUG